AGCGAACGCUGGCGGCAGGCCUAACACAUGCAAGUCGAGCGGACAUCUUCGGAUGUUAGCGGCGGACGGGUGGGUAACGCGUGGGAACGUGCCCUUUGCUUCGGAAUAGCCUCGGGAAACUGGGAGUAAUACCGGAUGUACCCUUUGGGGGAAAGAUUUAUCGGCAAAGGAUCGGCCCGCGUUGGAUUAGGUAGUUGGUGGGGUAAUGGCCUACCAAGCCGACGAUCCAUAGCUGGUUUGAGAGGAUGAUCAGCCACACUGGGACUGAGACACGGCCCAGACUCCUACGGGAGGCAGCAGUGGGGAAUCUUAGACAAUGGGGGAAACCCUGAUAUAGCCAUGCCGCGUGAGCGAUGAAGGCCUUAGGGUUGUAAAGCUCUUUCACCGGGGAAGAUAAUGACGGUACCCGGAGAAGAAGCCCCGGCUAACUCCGUG
RNAcentral lists this ribosomal RNA (435 nucleotides) under uncultured bacterium. Its description in RNAcentral is "partial 16S ribosomal RNA". It matches the Rfam family "Bacterial small subunit ribosomal RNA", at positions 29 to 507 of the family's 1533-position model. The record is from RNAcentral.